AACGACUCUCGGCAACGGAUAUCUCGGCUCUCGCAUCGAUGAAGAACGCAGCAAAAUGCGAUACUUGGUGUGAAUUGCAGAAUCCCGUGAAUCAUCGAGUUUUUGAACGCAAGUUGCGCCCGAAGCCUUCCGGCCAAGGGCACGUCUGCCUGGGUGUCACAC
Molecule: ribosomal RNA, 162 nt
Filed under: Mallotus repandus
Lineage: Eukaryota; Viridiplantae; Streptophyta; Magnoliopsida; Malpighiales; Euphorbiaceae
Description: 5.8S ribosomal RNA
Rfam family: 5.8S ribosomal RNA
About the family: 5.8S ribosomal RNA (5.8S rRNA) is a component of the large subunit of the eukaryotic ribosome. It is transcribed by RNA polymerase I as part of the 45S precursor that also contains 18S and 28S rRNA.
Source: RNAcentral